The sequence is a ribosomal RNA, 608 nucleotides long. It matches the Rfam family "Eukaryotic small subunit ribosomal RNA", at positions 1183 to 1818 of the family's 1831-position model.
CUGCGGCUUAAUUUGACUCAACACGGGAAAACUCACCCGGUCCGGACACCGUUAGGAUUGACAGAUUGAAAGCUCUUUCUCGAUUUGGUGGUUGGUGGUGCAUGGCCGUUCUUAGUUGGUGGAGUGAUUUGUCUGGUUUAUUCCGAUAACGAGCGAGACUCUAGCCUACUAAAUAGUUGGCAGGUUCUUGAGCCUGUUUCAACUUCUUAGAGGGAUAAGCGGUGUCGAAGCCGCACGAGAUUGAGCGAUAACAGGUCUGUGAUGCCCUUAGAUGUCCGGGGCUGCACGCGCGCUACACUGGAAGACUCAAUUGGUCCACCGGUGCCGAAAGGUACUGGUAAUCCGUUGAAACUCUUCCGUGACCGGGAUCGGGAAUUGUAAUUAUUUCCCUUGAACGAGGAAUUCCUAGUAAGUGUGAGUCAUCAGCCCACGCUGAUUACGUCCCUGCCCUUUGUACACACCGCCCGUCGCUGUCCGGGACUGAGCUGUUUCGAGAAGACUGAGGAUUGCUAUAGUGAGGCUUCGGCUUGGCUAUAAUGAGAGCCAGUUUAAUCGCAAUGGCUUGAACCGGGCAAAAGUCGUAACAAGGUACCUGUAGGUGAACCUGC